CAUCCAUGGAUUGUUUUUAAAGAUUGUUUGCUGUCAUCGCAUUUGAGUCAGUUAACAUGACCUGGAUAACAUCAAUUUCCUGGAUUUGUGUUGAUUUCAGAAAAAAAAAAUGAUAAAUCCAAGAAGGCAACCUUGGUUUAAAAUAGAAGAAGCUGCCUUAUGAGGCAGGAGAGUAAGAAACAUACUGCCUUUGUGGAGUUAUUGUGAAGAUGAAAUGGAGAGAAGGUAAACCACUGGGGAGAAGGGUGUUGACCUACAGAGACUUCAACCAAUGCUACCAUCAUUAUUAAUGUAACAAACAAAAACAAAAGUCACAAAGGAUACUAGUAAGAAUGUGAAUGUGCUCCAGACACAGAGGUGGUAACUGGAUUGGCAAGACAGAGGAGGGAAUAUUAACCACCGGGUGACUUCCAAAGGGUAGAGAUUGAUGGACCAUGCAAGGAGGCUGCAGUCACAGACAGACCUGUACACAUACGCUGUGAAGUCUAUUUGUAUGCUUUUUAGCACAUGCUGCACCAGUACUAGAACCUAGAACAUAAAUGUGGGUUAUGUUUUGUUAUUGUUCAUGAAACAUAGCCUGCCUGUAUGGAUAAUGAGCCCUCCCCCCUUUGUAACCUUUACAUACCCUUUAUCUGGACUUUGGUUUCUGAGGGCUUUGGGUCCCAGCUAAAUGUUUUCCCAAAGAAUCUUUCCAGUUAAGCAGGGUUGGGGCAGCCAGAGUGAAACUUAGAAUCCCUUAAGACCAAGCUUCCAACUUUGAGUUCAAGAACACAUAUUUUAGGUGUUUUAGGUUUCUCCUUCCUAAGGUCCCACUGAAAGGCAGUAAAUACAUUGUGAAAAGGUAUAAAGUUAACAUAUUUUCAGAUAAAUGAAAUUUUAGGGGUUUUCUCACACACACCUGCACUAUAAGAAAUGCUACAGUUCCCUUUUGCUGGAGGCUAAUGAUACCCGAUGAAAAUUUAAAUAUGGGAAGAAAUGAAGAGUUCUAAAUAUAUACCCAUAUUUAAAAAAAAAAAUUUUAGUGUAUUUUAAAAAAACUUUUUAAUUUUAAGAGUUUCUUUAAAGGGCAACUAAAUUUAAAAUAAAAUUAUUAACAUAUAAAUGUAAUGCCAAAAGAAGCAUAAAAGACUUGGAUGAGUGGAAUUAUUAUUCUCCCAUGUGUCACAUGAGUUGGUUCCAUAAUAAUUUCAAGUAGGCAGAUAAAUUAGGCAGGCAUAUUGUAAUCCUUAGAGCAACAACUAAGAAUAACACUAAGGGGCAUAGCUAAAAGGAAAUAAAAUAUAACACUAAAACAGAUUUGAUUAACUAGGAGAAGAGAGAGGGAAAAGUGACAAUAAAAAGUAAUACCACAAGCAAAAUAACCAACAAACAGGCCAUAUAAGAAGAAAGAGGGUGUAGAAUUGCCCUUCACACUAAAUAGCUAAAAAGCCAAACAAUAUAUAGACCUACUGUUUGCAGACACUGGACAAUAGACGGUGAUGGGAAAAGGAAGACAGUCAUGAAGAGGGCUCCCAGAACCUCUGGCUGGAAGGGCUGUCCUGAAGGAAGGAGGAAUUAAACAGCAAUGCAGUCUCCCUAAAUCGAAGAGAGGUCAGAGUUUGGGGUAGCUAAAGCUGCUAAAAUUUGUGCAGCAGAAUACCCAAGACAGAAAGAGUCCUAAAAGUCUGAGUCUGGCUGAAUACAAAUCUGCUUGUGUAUACAUAGAGUCAAAUCAUAUAAGGUAAUCUAAAACAAAUUCUAGGAAUUAUCACUGCUCAGAAACAAUUCAGUUGUUUAGGGAACAAUUUGGGCUAUAAACAGAGCAUUUAAUAAGUUUGAUUUGGUUUCUUAUUGCUUAUUCAACCUCAGAAUGAAAAAUAGUCCUACCCUGCUCCUGAAAAAAAAGAAAAAAGAGGAGAAAAGAGCAUGAUUCUAAAGAAAGGCCCCAUCAAAGUAUGUCAUUGUGCCGCAUGUCUCCCCACUACCCUGCAUGCCUUUCUCUAAUUGUGAAGCUGAAUUCCAACACUCAACUCCUUGACCAUGCUGGUCGAUGUACUGGACGAUCACCAGGCUUACGGUGGUGAUACGGUGAUAAGAUGAAGAAGCAAGAAGAAGGAAGGCUGUGUCUUGCUUCCGAUGACCUGUGGAGAACGAGCUGAGAGUAGAACUGUCUAGGCCAAGGUGCCCAGUCUUCCUUAUUCUCCUGGGCCUGACAGGAAACAUCUGGGCACAUAAGCUUAAGAUGGAACAAUGUCUGGCCAUGUAGUUUAUCCCAAGGAAAUGCUUUAAAGCUAUCUGAUGAGAUCAUAUUUUACAUCUUUAUGUAAGUGGCUAAAGGAUUCAAGUUUGCAGCAUUCCAAAUGAAACCUCGGGAGAGAACUCACCAGCUGCUGAGUUAAGGGUGAGUGACAGGAUUUGGGAUUAAGGAUAUCUUGUAUGCAGAACUAAAAUCCCAAUUCAUUUCCCAGUGAUUGUACAUUGAGGAGUGGCUUAAUAGCCCAGGAGGAAUGGAAUGAGCUGAAUGAGAUAAAGUGUAAUUUGGUAUCUUAGACGCUUUAAAUAUCGAAAAGACAUUUGGCUGUUCAUAGAGAAUUUUCACGUUAUUUACAUAGCUGGCCUUUGGCGGUUCCCCAAGGUCCAGUCUACACAGGUCCUAGGGUCUGUGGGCUUGGCUGGGUAUUUAUUGCUCAUACUGUUCUGCAUCCACAAGCUGUGGCUGACACCAUCUGUCUUUAGUGCUGUAGUAACUGUACACUGGAGUUUUUCUGGAAAUUUAAGACCAGUCAGUUUUUCAGCCUUCUAUGCCAUUAUCCUUGCCCAUUAAGCCAAAAUUUAAUGCUUCUCCAUAUCAGUUUUAUUGCUUGUUAUCUCCAACCCUACCUCUCAUUGUUAGCUCUACAGUACAGGUCCUUCACGUUUCUCCUUAGAGCUGGUGUGCUAUUAAGCUUUGUCAAGAGAGUGUGUAGGAGUGACAUGAAAGGAAGCGACCUUUCUCUUCCUAGUGGUGGUGUUUCAUUAACUUCCUAUUUCUGCGGCGAGAUCCAUACAGAGGUGCGCUCCCCCACCAAAUUUCAGCACGCCCCUAGGAAGAUUUCCUAGGAGUCCUGUGGGCACCCCUCUGGUCCCUUCCUCUCUCAGCCUAAGGGGUGUUUCCUGGGUUCCAGUGCAGCAGGAGAAAUAGCAACCCCAAAGAUGUCCACGUCCUAAUAUUUAGAACCUGUGACUAUGUUAUGUAAGGUUGUGGAGGAAAUUAAGGUAACUGACAGAUCAUUCUAGAUUGUCCAGAAAAAGGCAGAAAAUGGAGUCAGUGAGAGUAAUAAUGGAAGCAAUUUUAGAGUAUUGCAAUAUGAGAGCUCAACCUGCUAUUGCUGACUUUGAAGAUGGAAAGCUUUGAAGAGCUCUAGCAUGGUAGCUAGAGAUGCAGCAGCCAUCUUGUGACCAUGAAGGACCAAAAGAAUUGCAGGAGAAUAGGCCUUGUAAUUAUGAAACUCUGCCUACUCCUGCAGCCUCUCACCUCAAGAUUUCUGGGUAUAUAAAACAAAAACAAAACAGACACCACUGAUUUUCUUUAAAGUACAAUGAUUACUUGCAGCCAAAAUGAAUUCUGUUGCACCAUACUAGGAAGAAUCUGGUCGUUCUUCUCUAAGUUUUCAUUUCACAGGUGGCACAGUUUUCUAGUCCAUUGUCAUCAAAUAUUUAUUAAUUUUUGUUUGCCUGUCUCACAUUUCUAAUGGUCUGAGCUCCUUGGGGUCAAGAAAUUAAUUUUAUUGGUACACUUUUGAUAUGCAUAAUGACCACUUUUGUAGUAGGGAAUUUGUGCCUGUACAUAAUAUAUCUUGAUUCUUCAUUUUUUCCCAUUCCCUUCCCCUCUCUUCAACCCUUCUUCCCCCACUUUACAAAAAUUUUACUUCCAUUUUUUAUUUCUAUUUUUUUCCUUUUCCCUUCCCUCCCUUCACCCAUGUGAACAUUUUCUUUCCACUUCCCAAUAUCUAUCAUCCAUUUUGGUCCUUAUUUAUGCUUUCCAGUUUCACAUAGAAACAAUGUGAUAUUUAAACGUAUGGCUGAUCUCGUGGUCCAUCCAUUUACCUAAAAAUGUCUCAAAUUUAUCCUUCUUUAUGGCAGAGUAAAACAUCAUUGUAUGUAAAAACCACAUUUUCUUUAUCCUUUCAUCCAAUGAUGCUCAUCUGGGCUGUUUCCAAGAUUUAGCUAUUAAAAAUUGUGCUGCUAUAAACAUGGGUGUGCAUAUAUCACUGUGGUAUGAUACUUUUAACUUUUUUGGGAAGAUACCAAGAAGGGGAAUAGGUGGGUCAAAUGGAACCUCUAGUUUAAGUUUUUUGAGGAAUCUCCAUAUUUCUUUCCAUAUUGGCCAUUUAUCUUCCAGCAGAUUGUUUCUGUUUUAAUAUUUAGAUCUUUGAUCCAUUUUGAUUUUAGUUUAGUGCAUGUUGAGAUAUAUUGGUCUAGGUUCAAACUUCAGCAUGUACAAAUCCAGUUUCCCCAGCACCACUUAUUAAAGAGGCUGUCUUUCUCCCAGUGAAGACAUUUGGCCACUUGGUCAAAAAUAAGGUGGCUGAGUAUGUUUGGAGUUUUCUACAUCUUCUGUACUGUUCCAUUGAUCCUCAAGUCUGUUUUGUUUUGUUUUGCCAGUACCAUGAUGUUUUUAUCACAGUAGCUCUGUAGUAUAAUUUCAAGUUGGGGAUUGUGAUGCUCCCUGCCUUGCCUUUGUUGCUCGGAAUUGCUUUGGCUAUUCUAGUUCUCUUCUGGUUCCAAAUGAAUUUUAGGAUUGUUUUCUAUAGUUCUGUGAGGUAUGCUGUGGGUAUUUUGAUUGUAAUUGCAUUAAAUAUGUAUAACAAUUUUGGAAGUAUGGUCAUUUCCACUAUAUUAAUUCUUCCUACCCAAGAGAAAGAGACAUCUUUCCAUUUUCUGAUAUCCUCUUUUAUCUCCUUUUCAAGAGUACUGUAGUUUUAAAUGGAAAGGUCUUUUACUUCUUUUGUUAGAUUGAUUCCUAAAUAUUUCAUUUUUCUU
Molecule: long non-coding RNA, 5001 nt
Filed under: Heterocephalus glaber (naked mole-rat)
Lineage: Eukaryota; Metazoa; Chordata; Mammalia; Rodentia; Bathyergidae
Description: lncRNA (ENSHGLG00000038627.1)
Source: RNAcentral